GGAGAAAUGGCUGAGUUGGGUUAAGGCACUCCCCUGCUAAGGGAGCGGCCUCUAAGAGGUCCGAAGGUUCGAGUCCUUCUUUCUCCA
This 87-nucleotide transfer RNA is filed under the name Salmonella phage NINP13076. It matches the Rfam family "tRNA". From Rfam's summary of the family: Transfer RNA (tRNA) molecules are approximately 80 nucleotides in length. Their secondary structure includes four short double-helical elements and three loops (D, anti-codon, and T loops). Lineage: Duplodnaviria; Heunggongvirae; Uroviricota; Caudoviricetes. The record is from Rfam by way of RNAcentral.